AGUGUGCGGGCNUGCCUACACAUGCAAGUCGAACGAGGUAGCAAUACCUAGUGGCAGACGGGUGAGUAACACGUCCCUUCCUCGUCCCUACAGUGGGGGAUAACUAGCCGAAAGGUUACCUUAUACCGCAUAACAUCUACGAGUGGCAUCAUUUGUAGAUCAAAGGAGCAAUCCGCUGAAGGACGGGACCGCGUCCCAUUAGUUAGUUGGUGGGGUAAUGGCCUACCAAGACUCCGAUGGGUAGCUGGUUUGAGAGAGCGACCAGCCACACUGGGACUGAGAAACGGCCCAGACUCCUACGGGAGGCAGCAGUGAGGAAUUUUCCGCAAUGGGCGAAAGCCUGACGGAGCGACGCCGCGUGUGGGAAGAAGGCCUUCGGGUCGUAAACCACUGUCGAAGGGGAAGAUAAUGACGGUACCCUUGGAGGAAGCCCCGGCUAACUACGUGCCAGCGGCCGCGGUAAGACGUAGGGGGCGAGCGUUAUUCGGAAUUAUUGGGCGUAAAGCGCUCGUAGGCGGGACCGAAAGUCGGUGAGGAAAG
Molecule: ribosomal RNA, 540 nt
Filed under: uncultured bacterium
Lineage: Bacteria
Description: bacterial SSU rRNA
Rfam family: Bacterial small subunit ribosomal RNA
Source: RNAcentral